Non-coding RNA from Paramuricea clavata, 196 nucleotides. The record is from the annotation of a GenBank genome assembly. NCBI's taxonomy places the organism in Eukaryota, Metazoa, Cnidaria, Anthozoa, Malacalcyonacea, Plexauridae.
GCUUUUCAUCAACUUCCUAUAAAGGUUGUCACUCACAACUUGUUAAGAAAUUGUUGAAAUGACAAAUUGCUACAAGGUUGUUGAGCUCAACAGACUUCUUACAAGCUGUUCCCACAACUUGUUAUCGUUCUGCAAUUCAUCAAUUUCUUAACAAGUUGUGAGCGACAACCUUGUAGCAAGUUGAUGAAAUAACAGC